Molecule: non-coding RNA, 75 nt
Organism: Amycolatopsis orientalis HCCB10007
Lineage: Bacteria; Bacillati; Actinomycetota; Actinomycetes; Pseudonocardiales; Pseudonocardiaceae
Rfam family: ASpks TB sRNA
Source: Rfam
CUUGAUCGACCCGAGCCACAGCGGCCGGUCCGACGGCCUGCCCUUGCCGUAGGUCGCGAGCAGCGCCUGCGCCUC